Molecule: ribosomal RNA, 1231 nt
Filed under: metagenome
Description: bacterial SSU rRNA
Rfam family: Bacterial small subunit ribosomal RNA
Source: RNAcentral
UGAUGGGUAGCUGGCCUGAGAGGGUGGUCAGCCACACUGGGACUGAGAUACGGCCCAGACUCCUAAGGGAGGCAGCAGUCGAGAGGCAUCCGCAAUGGGCGAAAGCCCGACGGUGCGACGCCGCGUGGACGAUGAAGGCCUUCGGGUCGUAAAGUCCUGUCACAGGGGGGAGAACAGUCCCCAUAUUAAUAGUAUGGGGAUCUGACGUUGCCCCUGGAGAAAGACCCGGCUAACUCGGUGCCAGCAGCCGCGGUAAUACGGAGGGGUCGAGCUUAUUCGGAUUCACUGGGCGUAAAGGGCGCGUAGGCGGGAUCGUGGGUCGGCCGUGAAAUCCACCGGCUCAACCGGUGAACUGCGGUCGAAACUACGAUUCUUGAGUUCGGUAGAGGAAUGCGGAAUUCCUGGUGUAGCGGUGGAAUGCGUAGAUAUCAGGAAGAACACCGGUAGCGAAGGCGGCAUUCUGGGCCGUAACUGACGCUGAGGCGCGAAAGCCGGGGGAGCGAACAGGAUUAGAUACCCUGGUAGUCCCGGCCGUAAACGAUGGGUACUAGGUGUAGGGGGUACUGACCCCCUCUGUGCCGCAGUUAACGCAUUAAGUACCCCGCCUGGGGAGUACGCACGCAAGUGUGAAACUCAAAGGAAUUGACGGGGCCCCGCACAAGCGGUGGAGCAUGUGGAUCAAUUCGACGCAACGCGAAGAACCUUACCGGGGUUUGACAUGUACCGGACAACCAUGGAAACAUGGUCUCCCUUCGGGGUCGGUACACAGGUGCUGCAUGGCUGUCGUCAGCUCGUGUCGUGAGAUGUUGGGUUAAGUCCCGCAACGAGCGCAACCCUCGUCGCCUGUUGCCAUCAGGUUAAGCUGGGCACUCUGGCGAGACUGCCCGCGAUAUGCGGGAGGAAGGCGGGGAUGACGUCAAGUCCUCAUGGUCCUUACAUCCCGGGCUUCACACGUGCUACAAUGGCUGGUACAAAGGGUUGCAAUACCGCGAGGUGGAGCCAAUCCCAAAAAGCCAGUCUCAGUUCGGAUUGGAGUCUGCAACUCGACUCCAUGAAGUCGGAAUCGCUAGUAAUCGUGGAUCAGCAUGCCACGGUGAAUACGUUCCCGGGGCUUGUACACACCGCCCGUCAAGCCACGAAAGCUGAUAGUGCCCGAAGUCGCUGAGCUGACCCGCAAGGGAGGCAGGCGCCGAAGGUAAGAUUAGCGAUUGGGGCUAAGUCGUAACAGGUA